AUGUUUUCUCUUUUCUAACCAUAACAAAGAUGUUUUUUUAAAAUAUAUCAAAGUUAUUUGAAUCUUGAAAUUUGCUUCAGUAAUUUGGUGCUUCUAACAUUUUGCUUCCUGUAAUGUAAAAAAAAAAAAAGUAGUGUUUUUCAUUCAUGUUAGAUCUUUAACAUUGUCAUUCUUUUUCUAAGUAAUUUGAAUAUUUAUCAUGGUUUCUUAUAGUUUGUAAAAUUUGUAGGAUGAUUGAUAAGUUUACUUGGUCUUAUGCAUGGCAUUAAGAAAAUAGCACUACAAAGAGAUACUGUCAACCUAAGUGAAACAUUCUGUGGUUUUUGAAUUUUGUGUGAUGUCAAAAAGAAAUGUUUCUUUUUCUCUCAUAAAAAUUGCAAAAAUAUUAAUAAGAUUUUUUAAACUAAUUAUUUCUUCUCCUUUUUAAAUGAAAUGGAGUAGUUUCACUCAGUAAUCUGUUUCAUUGUUGAGUUUUAGUGUAAAACUACUUAUAUGUUAUGGGAAAACAUUUAAAACCCAAUUAUUAAAAACAUUUAAAACCCAAUUAUUAAAAACAUUUAAAACCCAAUUAUUAAAAACAUUUAAAACCCAA
Molecule: long non-coding RNA, 592 nt
Filed under: Marmota monax (woodchuck)
Lineage: Eukaryota; Metazoa; Chordata; Mammalia; Rodentia; Sciuridae
Source: RNAcentral